AGUGAACGCUGGCGGUAGGCCUAACACAUGCAAGUCGAACGGCAGCACAGUAAGAGCUUGCUCUUACGGGUGGCGAGUGGCGGACGGGUGAGGAAUACAUCGGAAUCUACUUUUUCGUGGGGGAUAACGUAGGGAAACUUACGCUAAUACCGCAUACGACCUACGGGUGAAAGCAGGGGAUCUUCGGACCUUGCGCGAUUGAAUGAGCCGAUGUCGGAUUAGCUAGUUGGCGGGGUAAAGGCCCACCAAGGCGACGAUCCGUAGCUGGUCUGAGAGGAUGAUCAGCCACACUGGAACUGAGACACGGUCCAGACUCCUACGGGAGGCAGCAGUGGGGAAUAUUGGACAGUGGGCGCAAGCCUGAUCCAGCCAUAUCGCGUGGGUGAAGAAGGCCUUCGGGUUGUAAAGCCCUUUUGUUGGGAAAGAAAAGCAGCAGGUUAAUACCCCGCUGUUCUGACGGUACCCAAAGAAUAAGCACCGGCUAACUUCGU
This 491-nucleotide ribosomal RNA is filed under the name uncultured bacterium. Its description in RNAcentral is "partial 16S ribosomal RNA". It matches the Rfam family "Bacterial small subunit ribosomal RNA", at positions 29 to 506 of the family's 1533-position model. The record is from RNAcentral.